This 445-nucleotide ribosomal RNA is filed under the name uncultured bacterium. RNAcentral describes it as "partial 16S ribosomal RNA". It matches the Rfam family "Bacterial small subunit ribosomal RNA", at positions 354 to 796 of the family's 1533-position model. The record is from RNAcentral.
GUGAGGAAUAUUGGUCAAUGGGCGAGAGCCUGAACCAGCCAAGUCGCGUGAAGGAAGAAGGAUCUAUGGUUCGUAAACUUCUUUUGCAGGGGAAUAAAGUGCAGGACGUGUCCUGUUUUGUAUGUACCCUGAGAAUAAGGAUCGGCUAACUCCGUGCCAGCAGCCGCGGUAAUACGGAGGAUCCGAGCGUUAUCCGGAUGUAUUGGGUUUAAAGGGUGCGUAGGUGGUUUGAUAAGUCAGCGGUGAAAGUUUGCAGCUUAACUGUAAAAAUGCCGUUGAAACUGUCGGACUUGAGUAUACAUGAGGUAGGCGGAAUGCGUGGGGGAGCGGUGAAAUGCAUAGAUAUCACGAAGAACUCCGAUGGCGAAGGCAGCUUACUAAGCUACAACUGACACUGGAGCACGAAAGCGUGGGGAUCAAACAGGAUUAGAAACCCCAGUAGUCC